RNAcentral lists this ribosomal RNA (217 nucleotides) under Salmonella enterica subsp. enterica serovar Minnesota. RNAcentral's name for it is "partial 16S ribosomal RNA". It matches the Rfam family "Bacterial small subunit ribosomal RNA", at positions 1329 to 1533 of the family's 1533-position model. Lineage: Bacteria; Pseudomonadati; Pseudomonadota; Gammaproteobacteria; Enterobacterales; Enterobacteriaceae. The record is from RNAcentral.
GAAUCGCUAGUAAUCGUGGAUCAGAAUGCCACGGUGAAUACGUUCCCGGGCCUUGUACACACCGCCCGUCACACCAUGGGAGUGGGUUGCAAAAGAAGUAGGUAGCUUAACCUUCGGGAGGGCGCUUACCACUUUGUGAUUCAUGACUGGGGUGAAGUCGUAACAAGGUAACCGUAGGGGAACCUGCGGUUGGAUCACCUCCUUACCUKAAAGAAGC